This 27-nucleotide small RNA is filed under the name Bombyx mori (domestic silkworm). RNAcentral describes it as "ovarian small RNA-38096". Lineage: Eukaryota; Metazoa; Arthropoda; Insecta; Lepidoptera; Bombycidae. The record is from RNAcentral.
UUGUCAUUAUCGAACUCUGUCUACAAA